This is a non-coding RNA of Callorhinus ursinus (northern fur seal), 2015 nucleotides long. The record is from RefSeq and is a predicted model, not a curated record. NCBI's taxonomy places the organism in Eukaryota, Metazoa, Chordata, Mammalia, Carnivora, Otariidae.
GCGGCUUCCCUAUUCCGUUCUCGGAACCGGCAGCACUCCCUCGUGCUGAGCUGCUACGAAGCCCCUGCCGGCGAGCUCGUAGGAGCUUGGAACCGUCGUCACCCCUCCGUGUCUCACCAAGGGGGGGAAAAUGGUUGAAGCAGAUCGCCCAGGAAAGCUUUUCAUUGGUGGCCUCAAUACAGAAACAAAUGAAAAAGCCCUUGAAGCAGUAUUUGGCAAAUAUGGGCGAAUAGUGGAAGUUCUAUUGAUGAAAGAUCGUGAAACCAACAAACCGAGAGGAUUUGCUUUUGUCACCUUUGAGAGCCCAGCAGAUGCUAAGGAUGCAGCCAGAGACAUGAGUGGAAAGUCCUUAGAUGGAAAAGCCCUCAAAGUAGAACGGGCCACUAAACCAUCAUUUGAAAGUGGUAGACGUGGACCACCUUCACCUCCAAGAAUCAGAGGCCCUCCAAGAGGUCUUAGAGGUGGAAGAGGAGGAAGUGGAGGAAACAGGGGACUCCGUCACGUGGAGGGCACAUGGAUGAUGGUGGCUAUUCCAUGAAUUUUAACAUGAGUUCUUCCAGGGGACCACUUCCAGAAAAAAGAGGACCACCACCACGAAGUGGUGGUCCUCCUCCUAAAAGAUCUGCCCCUUCAGGACCAGUUCGCAGCAGCAGUGGAACGGGAGGAAGAGCUCCUGUGUCACGCGGAAGAGAUAGUUAUGGAGGCCCACCUCGACGGGAACCCCUGCCCUCUCGUAGAGAUGUUUAUUUGUCCCCAAGAGAUGAUGGAUACUCUACUAAAGACAGCUAUUCAAGCAGAGAUUACCCAAGUUCUCGUGAUACAAGAGAUUAUGCACCACCACCAAGAGAUUAUACUUACCGUGAUUAUGGUCAUUCCAGUUCACGUGAUGACUACCCAUCGAGAGGCUAUAGUGAUAGAGAUGGCUAUGGUCGUGAUCGUGACUAUUCAGAUCAUCCAAGUGGAGGUUCCUACAGAGAUUCAUAUGAGAGUUAGGGUAACUCACGUAGUGCUCCACCUACACGAGGGCCUCCGCCAUCUUAUGGUGGAAGCAGUCGCUAUGAUAAUUACAGCAGCUCACGUGAUGGAUAUGGUGGAAGUCGAGACUGUUACUCAAGCAGCCGAAGUGAUCUCUACUCAAGUGGUCGUGAUCGGGUUGGCAGACAAGAAAGAGGGCUUCCCCCUUCUAUGGAAAGGGGGUACCCUCCUCCACGUGAUUCCUACAGCAGUUCAAGCCGCGGAGCACCAAGAGGUGGUGGCCAUGGAGGAAGCCAAUCUGAUAGAGGGGGAGUCAGAAGCAGAUAUUAAAAACAAAACUUUGGACCAAAAUCCCUGUUCAAAGAAACAAACAAAAAAGUGGAACCUUUUCUGUCAUAACUACCCAAGGACUACUAAAAGGAAAAAUUGUGUUACUUUUUUUUUUAAAUUUCCUGUUAAGUUCCCCUUCCAUAAUUUUUAUGUUCUUGUGAGGGAAAAAAAAGUAAAACCUGUUUAAUCUUAUUUGACUUUAUGACAUUGCUUUCAAUAAGCAAAUGUUAAAUGUGUUAAGACUUGACUUGUGUACUAGUGUUGUAAUUUUUCAAGUUAAAAGUGUCCCUAAAGGCCACUUCCUAUAUCUGAUUUUUCCCAGUAAAUGAGGCAAAGCAAUUCUAAGACCUUCCACAAACAUCUAGCCAUCUAAAAUGGAGAGGUGAAUCCUUCUGCCUAUACAAACAAGCUAGCUAUUAGAGGGUGGUCGGGGUAUGCUACUCUAGGAUUUCAGAGUGUCUUCAACUGAAAUCUCAAUGUUCUCAGUAUGAAAAACCUGAGAUCAGAUGCUUAUGUAAGGAAAGUGCUAUUCACCCAGUAAACCCAAAAAAGCAAAUGGAUAAUGCUGGCCAUAUUUUGCCUUUCUGACAUUUCCUUGGGAAUCUACAAGAACCUCCCCUUUCCCCUCCCCCAAUAAGACCAUUUAAGUGUGUGUUAAGCAACUACAGAAUACUAAAUAAAAAGUUUGACCAAAACCAAAAAAAAAAAAA